Molecule: ribosomal RNA, 433 nt
Filed under: uncultured bacterium
Lineage: Bacteria
Description: partial 16S ribosomal RNA
Rfam family: Bacterial small subunit ribosomal RNA
Source: RNAcentral
AACGAACGCUGGCGGCAUGCCUAACACAUGCAAGUCGAACGAGACCUUCGGGUCUAGUGGCGCACGGGUGCGUAACGCGUGGGAUCCUGCCCUUAGGUUCGGAAUAACUCCCCGAAAGGGGUGCUAAUACCGGAUAAUGUCUUCGGACCAAAGAUUUAUCGCCUUUGGAUGGGCCCGCGUUGGAUUAGCUAGUUGGUAGGGUAAAAGCCUACCAAGGCGACGAUCCACAGCUGGUCUGAGAGGAUGAUCAGCCACACUGGGACUGAGACACGGCCCAGACUCCUACGGGAGGCAGCAGUGGGGAAUAUUGGACAAUGGGCGAAAGCCUGAUCCAGCAAUGCCGCGUGAGUGAUGAAGGCCUUAGGGUUGUAAAGCUCUUUUACCCGGGAUGAUAAUGACAGUACCGGGAGAAUAAGCUCCGGCUAACUCCGUG